CAUCGCGGCGGCCGGUGCGGCCGGGCGGCCGGUCGAGGUCCGGUCGAUCGACUUCCUCGACCCGGGCGCGUUCGACUCGUACUGCCGCGA
Molecule: transfer RNA, 90 nt
Filed under: Mycobacteroides abscessus subsp. abscessus
Lineage: Bacteria; Bacillati; Actinomycetota; Actinomycetes; Mycobacteriales; Mycobacteriaceae
Description: tRNA-Leu(gag)
Source: RNAcentral